AUGUUUGUUAACGGAGACGAUUAUAUCGGCCGAUCACAUCGCAAGAGCUCUGCUUUUCGGCCGGCCCUUCCGCUUGCCGGCGACGAGGUACCGGUGGGCCGCGACCAGCUCUUCCCGGAACCGCGCCAGGUCGAGCCGCACGUUCUGCCGGUCCAGGUACACCUUCUUGGUCACGUCCCAGCCGCGCUGCGCCACGCCGGCGGGGUCCGUCAGCACGGGGUGGCCCGCGGGGUACUCGCGGGCCAGGGAGCUCUCCUCCGGCAGGAUCUUGUACCCGACGUACCGCAGGCCGAGGCGCGCCGCCGGCUCGCCGUAGUACUCGUUUGCCGCCCAGUCCGUGCCCAGCGGCACCACCUGGAUGAACACCUUGCCGGGGCGCAUGAACAGGAAGUGCGUCAUGGCGGCGCCGUGCACGCCCACCAUCGCGUCGCUCGCGUUCAGGUCGCGGUAUAUCUUGCACAUCUCCGUGCUCCGCUCCGGCCGGACCACGCGCACGUCGAACCCCACGUCCGCGGCCAGCGCCUUCAGCUCCUCCUCGUUCUCGAUCACGCGGGACCCCGUCCUCGACACGAUCACCAGCUUCGGCCUCUCCGCCGGCGCCGCCAGGUGCUUGUUCGGGAGGGCGAGCUUCGUGGCGGCGGCGCCGCUGGCGCGGCGUUGCUUGCGGGCGGCCUUGCGCUCCAUGCGCUCCAGGUAGUUGAUGCGGGGGCGGUAGGCGUCGUCGAGGAGGCGCCGGAAGUCGCGGAUGCUCCGGCCCUCGGGGGUCUUGGCGGGGUCCACGGUGAGCUCGCCGUGGAUGCGGAGGCCGGCGAUCACCUCGGGGAAGCAGUGCACGCGGCGAUCGGCGGUGAAGUCGAUGGGCGGGAACGCCGACAGCCGGGACACGACGUCGCCGUACUUGGUCAUCCACCAGUCGUGGUACUCGACGAUGACGAACACCACGCGGCGCUGGAGGUGGCCCGCCGUCACGAACAUCGGGAGGAGGCCGUCGUUGAACUCGUGGUACACGUUGCCCGUGAACCCGCCCGUGGAGAGCAGCACGGCCGGCAUGUCGUGCCGCACGUCGCAGCGCGCGGCGUCGCCGGCGGACACGCGGUGGAAGCGCACCUCGUCGAUGGUCUUCAUCACGUGCGCCUCCCACUUGCGCGUGUACGGCCGUAUCCGCUCCUCCUCCUCCACCGCCGGUCGCCCGGCGGAGGACACGAGCUGGAACGACGCGCUCGCCGAGUGCAUGCGCAGGUCGCCGCGCGCGAAGCACAUAUCCGCGCGCCUCGACGAGCGGUCGCAGCACAGGGUGUCGUUGCCGAUCCCGGAGCACCGCUCGCUCUGCUGCUGCUGCGUGGCCGCCGCCGCGCCGCCGGUGCGCGCGAAGGAGAAGAAGGCGCCCGGAGCCGCGAGGAGCGUGGCCAGGCCGAAAAGGCAGAUGAGGAGCAAGCCGAAGAAGCCGCUCAGGCUGAGCGCCCUGCCCUUGGCCGGCUUGCCGUUCUUGCCGGCGGCGCCUCCGGUGCCGUAGUCAUGGUAGUAGUACAUGAUCCGGCGGCCGCCGCCCUUGGGCGGCGAGGCCUUGCAUGA
Molecule: ribosomal RNA, 1572 nt
Filed under: Triticum aestivum (bread wheat)
Lineage: Eukaryota; Viridiplantae; Streptophyta; Magnoliopsida; Poales; Poaceae
Description: partial small subunit ribosomal RNA
Source: RNAcentral